RNAcentral lists this ribosomal RNA (254 nucleotides) under uncultured bacterium. Its description in RNAcentral is "partial 16S ribosomal RNA". It matches the Rfam family "Bacterial small subunit ribosomal RNA", at positions 524 to 776 of the family's 1533-position model. The record is from RNAcentral.
UACAGGGGGAGCAAGCGUUGUUCGGAUUUACUGGGCGUAAAGGGCGCGUAGGCGGCCAGCACAAGUCAGUUGUGAAAUCUCCGAGCUUAACUCGGAACGGUCAACUGAUACUGUGCGGCUAGAGUGCGGAAGGGGCAACUGGAAUUCUUGGUGUAGCGGUGAAAUGCGUAGAUAUCAAGAGGAACACCUGCGGCGAAGGCGGGUUGCUGGGCCGACACUGACGCUGAGGCGCGAAAGCGUGGGGAGCAAACAGG